This 484-nucleotide ribosomal RNA is filed under the name uncultured bacterium. Its description in RNAcentral is "partial 16S ribosomal RNA". It matches the Rfam family "Bacterial small subunit ribosomal RNA", at positions 30 to 507 of the family's 1533-position model. The record is from RNAcentral.
AUUGAACGCUGGCGGCAGGCCUAACACAUGCAAGUCGAGCGGAUGAAGGGUGCUUGCUCCUGGAUUCAGCAGCGGACGGGUGUGUAAUGCCUAGGAAUCUGCCUGGUAGUGGGGGAUAACGUCCGGAAACGGGCGCUAAUACCGCAUACGUCCUGAGGGAGAAAGUGGGGGAUCUUCGGACCUCACGCUAUCAGCUGAGCCUAUGUCGGAUUAGCUAGUUGGUGGGGUAAAGGCCUACCAAGGCGACGAUCCGUAACUGGUCUGAGAGGAUGAUCAGUCACACUGGAACUGAGACACGGUCCAGACUCCUACGGGAGGCAGCAGUGGGGAAUAUUGGACAAUGGACGAAAGCCUGGUCCAGCCAUGCCGCGUAUGUGAAGAAGGUCUUCGGAUUGUAAAGCACUUUAAGUUGGGAGGAAGAGCAGUAGAUUAAUACCUUGCUGUUUUGACGGUACCAACAGAAUAAGCACCGGCUAACUUCGUG